CCUGCUCACAUCUCCUUUAGAUAUAAUUCAUCAGGCCAUGGAUUAUCUUUAAUCUUCUGCGUUCUCUCCAGCCGAUCAGAGACCUUGGAUUGAGCUGCCUUGCAGAGUGCCUUAGAAAAUCAGUAGAAACUUGUAAUUAAAAUCAGCUAAAUUAAACUUAGCUGCCCAAUAUAUUUGAAUGUUUAUCAAACAACUUAAUUGUCAAGUAAAAAUUACUGUUAAUUUAUGGACAGUUUAGUUGUAGUAGUUGUAAAUUUAGGAGAAUCAUUGCAGUCAUAAACAUACCUUAAUUAUAUCUGCUAUUGUUUUAAGACACACAAUUAUAAACUGAUUCUACUACGAAAAUUUAUUUCUGAAAAAAAAAUAUAUAGGUUUCAGCUGGUUAUCAAUAACUAGCUAUAAAAUAACAAAAAUCUAGAAAUUUACAAAGACACAAGUGUGCUGAUGUAGUGUUAACUUGCGAAAAUCUGUAAAAUGCUGAUAUUUUAGGACAAGGAUUUAGUGUUACCUUGUGUUGAGCGCAUGUUCUAACAUGCCUUUCAAUAAACUCCUAAUCUGUGCUGAGAACUAAAUCAAUGGUUAGAAUUUAUCGAACACUAAUCUCAUAUGAAUCUAAACAACAACUCAGCUGAACAUCUAAUCCUUCCACAAUAUAGUAUUUCUUUUAAGUAGGAGUCAACGAAUCCUUC
Molecule: long non-coding RNA, 689 nt
Filed under: Citrus sinensis (sweet orange)
Lineage: Eukaryota; Viridiplantae; Streptophyta; Magnoliopsida; Sapindales; Rutaceae
Description: long non-coding RNA (CSIN_LNC003956)
Source: RNAcentral